UCAUUCUGUUUUUCAGGCAAAGAAAUUCAAGGAGGAUCUGAAGGAAGCCUGCAGGUCUCUCUUGUUUCAUGAUUUUGUGGCAAACUGCUUGACAAAAGAACAUCGGGUUCGGGCGCGAAGAAGAGUGACAGGUCGGAGUUUUUGGAAAACGGGUGGGAUCCGGAGCUCAGCUUUCCCAUCACAUUUCAGUUAAUUGGCGCUGGUUCGAUAACCAUGGGGAAUACUUGUUAUCUCAAUUCGGUGUUGCAGUGCUUGACAUAUACUGAGCUUUUAGCUGCCUAAUUGCAAAGUGGCAGGCAUCGAAAUUAUAUACAAGUGCUCCAAGGAUAAACAUAUGCAAUUGUUGAGACAUUCAAGGAGACUGAUUGCAGCUGGAGCAGGAAUUGCCUUAAUUGAUUCAGUGGUGAUUUCUCAAUCAGUGUCUUGCUGAUAAUCUAGGCUAAUUAUGUGUCCUGAACUGUUUGGGUGAUAUGUUUGCAUUGAAGUUCAAUUGAUUGUGAGACUCUUCUUCAAAAAGAUCAAAAUUUUAUAUGGUGUAAAUCUCGUCUCUUCCAAUACAUUUUGUUUCUUAUCUCAGGUAGAAGAGUCAAAGAACACCAGGGAUCCACCUACUGGUUUUGCUUUAAUAAGACCUCCAGGACACCAUGCAAUUUCAAAGGGUCUGAUGGGGUUUUGUUUAUUUGGAAAUAUUGCAAUUGCAGCUCAUUAUGCUCAACGUGCACAUGGCUUGAAGGGUGUCUUUAUAAUUGAUUUUGAUGUUCACCACGGGAAUGGGACAAAUGAUGCUUUCUAUGAGGAUCCGGAUAUAUUCUUCCUUUCAACUCACCAAAAAGUAGUGCAAAGAUGGCCUUGCUUAUGGAAUGGUACACAAUGACCGUUUUACUUAUUUGCAAGCCUUUUGUUUUGUAUAUGGAGAAGUUUAGGCCAUAUGUCCCAUUCUCCCUACUCUUUGUACACUUUUUAUCAAAAAUAGUAUUAAUGAGA
Molecule: long non-coding RNA, 984 nt
Organism: Rosa rugosa (rugosa rose)
Lineage: Eukaryota; Viridiplantae; Streptophyta; Magnoliopsida; Rosales; Rosaceae
Exons: 6
Source: RefSeq, a predicted model, not a curated record